GAUGAACGCUGGCGGCGUGCCUAAUACAUGCAAGUCGAGCGAACGGACGAGAAGCUUGCUUCUCUGAUGUUAGCGGCGGACGGGUGAGUAACACGUGGAUAACCUACCUAUAAGACUGGGAUAACUUCGGGAAACCGGAGCUAAUACCGGAUAAUAUUUUGAACCGCAUGGUUCAAAAGUGAAAGACGGUCUUGCUGUCACUUAUAGAUGGAUCCGCGCUGCAUUAGCUAGUUGGUAAGGUAACGGCUUACCAAGGCAACGAUGCAUAGCCGACCUGAGAGGGUGAUCGGCCACACUGGAACUGAGACACGGUCCAGACUCCUACGGGAGGCAGCAGUAGGGAAUCUUCCGCAAUGGGCGAAAGCCUGACCGAGCAACGCCGCGUGAGUGAUGAAGGUCUUCGGAUCGUAAAACUCUGUUAUUAGGGAAGAACAUAUGUGUAAGUAACUGUGCACAUCUUGACGGUACCUAAUCAGAAAGCCACGGCUAACUACGUGCCAGCAGCCGCGGUAAUACGUAUGUGGCAAGCGUUAUCCGGAAUUAUUGGGCGUAAAGCGCGCGUAGGCGGUUUUUUAAGUCUGAUGUGAAAGCCCACGGCUCAACCGUGGAGGGUCAUUGGAAACUGGAAAACUUGAGUGCAGAAGAGGAAAGUGGAAUUCCAUGUGUAGCGGUGAAAUGCGCAGAGAUAUGGAGGAACACCAGUGGCGAAGGCGACUUUCUGGUCUGUAACUGACGCUGAUGUGCGAAAGCGUGGGGAUCAAACAGGAUUAGAUACCCUGGUAGUCCACGCCGUAAACGAUGAGUGCUAAGUGUUAGGGGGUUUCCGCCCCUUAGUGCUGCAGCUAACGCAUUAAGCACUCCGCCUGGGGAGUACGACCGCAAGGUUGAAACUCAAAGGAAUUGACGGGGACCCGCACAAGCGGUGGAGCAUGUGGUUUAAUUCGAAGCAACGCGAAGAACCUUACCAAAUCUUGACAUCCUUUGACAACUCUAGAGAUAGAGCUUUCCCCUUCGGGGGACAAAGUGACAGGUGGUGCAUGGUUGUCGUCAGCUCGUGUCGUGAGAUGUUGGGUUAAGUCCCGCAACGAGCGCAACCCUUAAGCUUAGUUGCCAUCAUUAAGUUGGGCACUCUAAGUUGACUGCCGGUGACAAACCGGAGGAAGGUGGGGAUGACGUCAAAUCAUCAUGCCCCUUAUGAUUUGGGCUACACACGUGCUACAAUGGACAAUACAAAGGGCAGCGAAACCGCGAGGUCAAGCAAAUCCCAUAAAGUUGUUCUCAGUUCGGAUUGUAGUCUGCAACUCGACUACAUGAAGCUGGAAUCGCUAGUAAUCGUAGAUCAGCAUGCUACGGUGAAUACGUUCCCGGGUCU
Molecule: ribosomal RNA, 1372 nt
Filed under: uncultured bacterium
Lineage: Bacteria
Description: bacterial SSU rRNA
Rfam family: Bacterial small subunit ribosomal RNA
Source: RNAcentral